Molecule: long non-coding RNA, 776 nt
Filed under: Capra hircus (goat)
Lineage: Eukaryota; Metazoa; Chordata; Mammalia; Artiodactyla; Bovidae
Description: lncRNA (ENSCHIG00010011736.1)
Source: RNAcentral
UCUGUUUGAACCUGGAUGCUAUCUCUUUACCAUACCUGUUUUGCAAGGUUUCAAACAGAAAGGCUGUGAAUGACUAUUGCUUCUCCUUUUAAUACUGACAUUUUCCACAACACUUUACCUCAACCCAAAACACUACUCUCUGAAGUUAGCAGCCACAGACACAGUAGUGUAGGUGACAGAAGCUGGAAGCUUUUCCAUGGCUCUCAAACAGAGCCAUCAGUGUAUUCACUUCUUCCUCCUAUGUACGUAGGGCUGGUCUAACUAACGCACUGACGGCCUUCUGUAGUUCUGCAGGAAAAAUGCUAAAUAGGAACUGCUCAGAGAACUCUAGAUGUGUAAAGAGUUUUUAUCCAUUUCUUAUUUUGACAUUUCUCAUCUUCCAUUAACUGAUGAAAUCUCAGGAUAGCUGUCAGGCUCUUACAUAUAUACUGCUUACCUUUUCUGAUAAAUUCACUAAGACACAUGUAGCAUUUUGGAUCUCUUUAUACACAGAACAUCACAAUAAAAUCCAACAAAGUUACCUGAUCACCCAAGGGAGUUGUGUAAUCUUAUACGGCAGUUUAUUUACCCCAGAAGCAAGUAUGUUAUUAAUAAUAAGGUCAAAGAAUUCUUUUCUUCCUUCAAAGCCGAUGACGCAGCAGAAUUUUAUUUUGUGUCCUCAACGCAGGCCAAAAAAAGAAAACUGUUUCUGGGAGCUUCCUCUCAUUUUACACAACAUGAGUCUGUUAAAAAUAAAUUAUUUGAGUGUUCUUUUAAUGUACAUUUUAUUGGAAUAA